UCGACGAUGAACCACUUCGGUGGGGAUUAGUGGCGAACGGGUGAGUAACACGUGGGCAAUCUGCCCUGCACUCUGGGACAAGCCCUGGAAACGGGGUCUAAUACCGGAUACUGACCCGCUUGGGCAUCCAAGCGGUUCGAAAGCUCCGGCGGUGCAGGAUGAGCCCGCGGCCUAUCAGCUUGUUGGUGAGGUAAUGGCUCACCAAGGCGACGACGGGUAGCCGGCCUGAGAGGGCGACCGGCCACACUGGGACUGAGACACGGCCCAGACUCCUACGGGAGGCAGCAGUGGGGAAUAUUGCACAAUGGGCGAAAGCCUGAUGCAGCGACGCCGCGUGAGGGAUGACGGCCUUCGGGUUGUAAACCUCUUUCAGCAGGGAAGAAGCGAAAGUGACGGUACCUGCAGAAGAAGCGCCGGCUAACUACGUGCCAGCAGCCGCGGUAAUACGUAGGGCGCGAGCGUUGUCCGGAAUUAUUGGGCGUAAAGAGCUCGUAGGCGGCUUGUCACGUCGGUUGUGAAAGCCCGGGGCUUAACCCCGGGUCUGCAGUCGAUACGGGCAGGCUAGAGUUCGGUAGGGGAGAUCGGAAUUCCUGGUGUAGCGGUGAAAUGCGCAGAUAUCAGGAGGAACACCGGUGGCGAAGGCGGAUCUCUGGGCCGAUACUGACGCUGAGGAGCGAAAGCGUGGGGAGCGAACAGGAUUAGAUACCCUGGUAGUCCACGCCGUAAACGGUGGGCA
This 736-nucleotide ribosomal RNA is filed under the name Streptomyces sp. HJG4. RNAcentral's name for it is "bacterial SSU rRNA". It matches the Rfam family "Bacterial small subunit ribosomal RNA", at positions 62 to 815 of the family's 1533-position model. The record is from RNAcentral. Lineage: Bacteria; Bacillati; Actinomycetota; Actinomycetes; Kitasatosporales; Streptomycetaceae.